AGCCACUAGGCACUCCUGCCGAGUUCAAAGGAGAGGGCGCUUCAGUCAGACAGCAAAUGAAAGCAAGAGAGCUUGCUGUUGGAUCCCUGAGCCACCUUGAGACUACCAUACUGGAGAGACCACAUGGAGGCUUCCUGCAGUCAAGAGUCCCACCUGAUCCUGAUGGCCCCCAGCAGCCUCAGGCCUGGCAAGGGAAAGUUGAGUGAAACCACCUUGGAAGUGGAUCCUCAGUCCCAGCUGUUCCCACCUCUAGCUUGUCUCAUCACUGCCCCCACCCCGCCCCAGCUGUUUGAAUCAUUCCCGCUGAGGUCCUGGCUGACACUGCAGAACAGAAAACAAUGACCCCUCUGUUCCCUUCCAAAGUCUUGGUCCACAAAAUCUGUGAGUGUAAUAAAAUUGUUGCUGC
RNAcentral lists this long non-coding RNA (406 nucleotides) under Homo sapiens (human). RNAcentral describes it as "HSALNT0168866". The record is from RNAcentral. Lineage: Eukaryota; Metazoa; Chordata; Mammalia; Primates; Hominidae.